RNAcentral lists this ribosomal RNA (458 nucleotides) under uncultured bacterium. RNAcentral's name for it is "SSU rRNA". It matches the Rfam family "Bacterial small subunit ribosomal RNA", at positions 26 to 521 of the family's 1533-position model. The record is from RNAcentral.
AGGAUGAACGCUGGCGGCGUGCCUAAUACAUGCAAGUCGAGCGGAAAGGCCUCUUCGGAGGUACUCGAGCGGCGGACGGCUGAGUAACGCGUAGGAACGUACCCCAAAGUGAGGGAUAAGCACCAGAAAUGGUGUCUAAUACCGCAUGUGAUCUAAGGAUUAAAGCUUCGGCGCUUUGGGAACGGCCUGCGUAUGAUUAGCUUGUUGGUGAGGUAAUGGCUCACCAAGGCUUUGAUCAUUAGCUGGUCUGAGAGGAUGAUCAGCCAGACUGGGACUGAGAACGGCCCAGACUCCUACGGAGGCAGCAGUAGGGAAUUUUUCCACAAUGGGCGAAAGCCUGAUGGAGCAACGCCGCGUGCAGGAUGAAUGCCUUCGGGUUGUAAACUGCUUUUAUAUGUGACGAAUAUGACGGUAGCAUAUGAAUAAGGAUCGGCUAACUCCGUGCCAGCAGCCGCGGU